UCUCUCCCCCACUCGCGUCGAGACGACAUCUCUCGCGACUCGGAAGAUUAUAUGUUUUGUACAAUGAAACAAGAUAUGGGACGGUAAGCCGCCUUAUCGAAACGAUCUCCGUUCACUGGAAAGAUCUGUAUAAGCCCGACCAAGUAAUUUGCAAGCCACCACAUCAAACGCACUUUGCGAGGAAUGCCAUCGAGGGAGUAGCGUAAGGGAACGAGUGGAAACUGCUAGCUACGGCUUGAAAUCACUUGAAAGUCCUUCAGCCUUUCGUGCCUGCGCUGAAAUCGGACGCGGGAACCUCAAUGCACUCCAGCAGUUUUGCGUUUCUAGUGGACAAACAGUUGCGAACUUGCAAGACCGGUACACGUAGCAAAACAUCACUGUGCGAGAAAUAGAAGGGGGAAAAAUCAACCUGCCAAUUUAAUAGUUGUAUGAAAGUUGAUCAAAUCAAAUUU
This is a long non-coding RNA of Copidosoma floridanum, 452 nucleotides long. The record is from RefSeq and is a predicted model, not a curated record. NCBI's taxonomy places the organism in Eukaryota, Metazoa, Arthropoda, Insecta, Hymenoptera, Encyrtidae.